This is a long non-coding RNA of Crotalus tigris (Tiger rattlesnake), 692 nucleotides long. RefSeq lists it as uncharacterized. The transcript has 2 exons. The record is from RefSeq and is a predicted model, not a curated record. NCBI's taxonomy places the organism in Eukaryota, Metazoa, Chordata, Lepidosauria, Squamata, Viperidae.
UCCCCAGUUCUCCCAGCUUGCUCGGCUCGGAGGUUUCCUCCUCCAGCGGCUCAUUUCAUGGCUGGUCGCCAGCGCUGGGACCAAAACACAGCUCUUUCCUGCCUUCUCAGGCGACCGCUUUACGUCGCUGUAGGAAUUACUACUGUUUUACUGUGACACACUGUGGAGCAAGCAGGAGAGUAUUGGCGUUUUUGAACUUUGGUGUUGGAGAAAAUUCCUGAGAAUACUGUGGACAGCCAAGAAAAUGGAUCAUCAAGCACAUUAACACAAUUUUCAUUGGAGGCACAAAUGACCAGGCUCAAAUUAUGCUACUUUCAACACAUGAAGACUCAGAUCUCUGGAAAAGGCUCUAAUACUGGAAAGGUGGAAAGAAAGAGAAGAGAAUGACAAACAGUAAGUUAGAUGGACUUCGAUGUGGUGAUGAGUGCACCAUGAGAAGACCUGAAGGAUCAGAUCAGGGACAGAUUAUCAUGAAAAAAAAAUCUACGUGGUCACUAGGAGUCAAACAAAACUUGAUGGCAGAUAAUAAAAAAAUCUAUUUUAAGUUCUCCCCAAAACCAGUUUUUACAGUAUCAAAACAAUCUGUUUUGAAGUGGAUCACAGAUUUGUUUAGCCUCAAAAAUUGGCUUGAAAAGAUUAAAUUUUUGAAAGUCAAUGUUAAAUUUAAAUUAAAGCCAAGCUAUUUCAAAAUA